UGCAUGUCUAAGUAUAAGCAAUUAUACCGUGAAACUGCGAAUGGCUCAUUAAAUCAGUUAUCGUUUAUUUGAUAGUACCUUACUACUUGGAUAACCGUGGUAAUUCUAGAGCUAAUACAUGCUAAAAACCCCAACUUCGGAAGGGGUGUAUUUAUUAGAUAAAAAACCAAUGCCCUUCGGGGCUCCUGGUGAUUCAUAAUAACUUCUCAGAUCGCAUAGCCUUGUGCUGGCGACGGUUCAUUCAAAUUUCUGCCCUAUCAACUUUCGAUGGUAAGGUAGUGGCUUACCAUGGUUUCAACGGGUAACGGGGAAUUAGGGUUCGAUUCCGGAGAGUUAGCCUGAGAAAUAGCUAACACAUCCAAGGAAGGCAGCAGGCGCGCAAAUUACCCAAUUCCGAUACGGAGAGGUAGUGACAAUAAAUACUGAUACAGGGCUCUUUUGGGUCUUGUAAUUGGAAUGAGUACAAUUUAAACCUCUUAACGAGGAACAAUUGGAGGGCAAGUCUGGUGCCAGCAGCCGCGGUAAUUCCAGCUCCAAUAGCGUAUAUUAAAGUUGUUGCAGUUAAAAAGCUCGUAGUUGAAACUUUGGCCUGGCUGGCGGGUCCGCCUCACCGCGUGCACUUGUCCGGCCGGGCCUUUUCUUCUGGAGAACCGCAUGCCCUUCACUGGGUGUGUUGGGGACCAGGACUUUUACUUUGAAAAAAUUAGAGUGUUCAAAGCAGGCCUUUGCUCGAAUACGUUAGCAUGGAAUAAUAGAAUAUGACGUUUGGUCCUAUUUUGUUGGUUUCUAGGACAGCCGUAAUGAUUAAUAGGGACAGUCGGGGGCAUCAGUAUUCAAUUGUCAGAGGUGAAAUUCUUGGAUUUAUUGAAGACUAACUACUGCGAAAGCAUUUGCCAAGGAUGUUUUCAUUAAUCAGUGAACGAAAGUUAGGGGAUCGAAGACGAUCAGAUACCGUCGUAGUCUUAACCAUAAACUAUGCCGACUAGGGAUCGGGCGGUGUUUCUAUUUUGACUCGCUCGGCACCUUACGAGAAAUCAAAGUUUUUGGGUUCUGGGGGGAGUAUGGUCGCAAGGCUGAAACUUAAAGAAAUU
This 1091-nucleotide ribosomal RNA is filed under the name Paramassariosphaeria anthostomoides. RNAcentral describes it as "SSU rRNA". It matches the Rfam family "Eukaryotic small subunit ribosomal RNA", at positions 52 to 1154 of the family's 1831-position model. Lineage: Eukaryota; Fungi; Ascomycota; Dothideomycetes; Pleosporales; Didymosphaeriaceae. The record is from RNAcentral.